This 336-nucleotide unclassified non-coding RNA is filed under the name soil metagenome. RNAcentral describes it as "partial contains 5.8S ribosomal RNA, internal transcribed spacer 2, and large subunit ribosomal RNA". The stretch from base 1 to 120 matches the Rfam family "5.8S ribosomal RNA", at positions 35 to 154 of the family's 154-position model. The record is from RNAcentral.
GAUGAAGAACGCAGCGAAAUGCGAUAAGUAAUGUGAAUUGCAGAAUUCAGUGAAUCAUCGAAUCUUUGAACGCACAUUGCGCCCGCCAGUAUUCUGGCGGGCAUGCCUGUUCGAGCGUCAUUUCAACCAUCAAGCCCCAGGCUUGUGUUGGGGACCUGCGGCUGCCGCAGGCCCUGAAAACCAGUGGCGGGCUCGCUGUCACACCGGGCGUAGUAGAUUUUAUCUCGCUCAGGGCGUGCUGCGGGUUCCGGCCGUUUAAAAGCCUUUUUUACCCAAGGUUGACCUCGGAUCAGGUAGGAAGACCCGCUGAACUUAAGCAUAUCAAUAAGCGGAGGA